AUACGGAGGGUGCAAAGCGUUGUUCGGAAUUAUUGGGCGUAAAGCGCGCGUAGGCGGUUUCUUAAGUCUGAUGUGAAAGCCCCGGGCUCAACCUGGGAAGUGCAUUGGAAACUGGGAGACUUGAGUACGGGAGAGGGUAGUGGAAUUCCUAGUGUAGGAGUGAAAUCCGUAGAUAUUAGGAGGAACACCGGUGGCGAAGGCGGCUACCUGGACCGAUACUGACGCUGAGACGCGAAAGCGUGGGGAGC
Molecule: ribosomal RNA, 248 nt
Filed under: uncultured bacterium
Lineage: Bacteria
Description: partial 16S ribosomal RNA
Rfam family: Bacterial small subunit ribosomal RNA
Source: RNAcentral